UGGGGAAUAUUGGACAAUGGGCGCAAGCCUGAUCCAGCCAUGCCGCGUGAAUGAUGAAGGCCUUAGGGUUGUAAAGUUCUUUCACCGGAGAAGAUAAUGACGGUAUCCGGAGAAGAAGCCCCGGCUAACUUCGUGCCAGCAGCCGCGGUAAUACGAAGGGGGCUAGCGUUGUUCGGAAUUACUGGGCGUAAAGCGCACGUAGGCGGACAUUUAAGUCAGGGGUGAAAUCCCAGAGCUCAACUCUGGAACUGCCUUUGAUACUGGGUGUCUUGAGUGUGGAAGAGGUCAGUGGAAUUGCGAGUGUAGAGGUGAAAUUCGUAGAUAUUCGCAGGAACACCAGUGGCGAAGGCGGCUGACUGGUCCACAACUGACGCUGAGGUGCGAAAGCGUGGGGAGCAAACAGGAUUAGAUACC
RNAcentral lists this ribosomal RNA (414 nucleotides) under uncultured bacterium. Its description in RNAcentral is "bacterial SSU rRNA". It matches the Rfam family "Bacterial small subunit ribosomal RNA", at positions 355 to 786 of the family's 1533-position model. The record is from RNAcentral.